GACGAACGCUGGCGGCGUGCCUAAUACAUGCAAGUUGAGCGCUGAAGGUUGGUACUUGUACCAACUGGAUGAGCAGCGCACGGGUGAGUAACGCGUGGGGAAUCUGCCUUUGAGCGGGGGACGACAUUUGGAAACGAAUGCUAAUACCGCAUAAAAACUUUAAACACAAGUUUUAAGUUUGAAAGAUGCAAUUGCAUCACUCAAAGAUGAUCCCGCGUUGUAUUAGCUAGUUGGUGAGGUAAAGGCUCACCAAGGCGAUGAUACAUAGCCGACCUGAGAGGGUGAUCGGCCACAUUGGGACUGAGACACGGCCCAAACUCCUACGGGAGGCAGCAGUAGGGAAUCUUCGGCAAUGGACGAAAGUCUGACCGAGCAACGCCGCGUGAGUGAAGAAGGUUUUCGGAUCGUAAAACUCUGUUGGUAGAGAAGAACGUUGGUGAGAGUGGAAAGCUCAUCAAGUGACGGUAACUACCCAGAAAGGGGCGGCUAACUACGUG
RNAcentral lists this ribosomal RNA (497 nucleotides) under uncultured bacterium. Its description in RNAcentral is "partial 16S ribosomal RNA". It matches the Rfam family "Bacterial small subunit ribosomal RNA", at positions 28 to 507 of the family's 1533-position model. The record is from RNAcentral.